UGGCCCCAAACUGCACUUCACCACAGGGUGCCAUCUGUGUUCAGUGGUGCCAUCUCUCCUAGAUGGGUGACACCUAAAAGCUGUGUCCUGACUACCCCAUACCUGACAUCUACAUGAGAUCUCUGCCAAAUGCACCCAGUACAGCAGUUGCAGUGGGCCAGUGUAAUUGUAGUAAGAACCAAGCCAGGUGAUCGAGAGACCACUCACACUGGCACAAGACAGAGGGCAGCAGCAAUUGACAGGUGAAGAAGCCUCCAGCCCCUGGCACAGCCAGAGAAGGUCUGAGUUCUGCCUCUGGUCACAGCCCAAGAUUCUGUCCACACCUGUGUACCCAGAGGACCUUCAGGAUCUGAGGGGCUGUCAGUCACUCUUGCUCUUGGUUUCCUGCCCCUCCUCUGUUCCUGGGUCUGUGGCUCUUGGCUUUCCAGUGGAGAAUGACUUGUGCUGCUGCCCUGCUGCAGUGUGUGGCACUGAGGCAGCUAACAUGGAAAAUUGGGGAGGUAGCUGUGCCUGAGGAGCUACUGAAAGUCAUGAGCCCCAGGCUCCUGUAGGAACAGAGGCAGGCAAAGCCACUCUCUGAGGGCUGGUAACAGAGACCUCCUGCUGAGGGAGAAAGGUCUUGUAUGGGUUUACUCUGACCUCUAAUUAUGGUUUCAGGCCUGGUCCACGAAGAACCGGCACCACCUAGAAACAGACCCACAUGCCUAGAGGUGCCAGGGAAACCUCUGCAGAUCCACUGUGUGCAUGAGUCACCAGCCCUGUCUGGAGACAGCUGACCACCCUCCCUUCUGAACCUGGCUGAUGGUGAGGUUGGC
Molecule: long non-coding RNA, 815 nt
Filed under: Heterocephalus glaber (naked mole-rat)
Lineage: Eukaryota; Metazoa; Chordata; Mammalia; Rodentia; Bathyergidae
Description: lncRNA (ENSHGLG00100049882.1)
Source: RNAcentral